Molecule: unclassified non-coding RNA, 345 nt
Filed under: soil metagenome
Description: partial contains 5.8S ribosomal RNA, internal transcribed spacer 2, and large subunit ribosomal RNA
Rfam family: 5.8S ribosomal RNA (bases 1-119)
Source: RNAcentral
GAUGAAGAACGGAGCGAAAUGCGAUACGUAAUGUGAAUUGCAAAUUCAGUGAAUCAUCGAGUCUUUGAACGCACAUUGCGCCCCCUGGUAUUCCGGGGGGCAUGCCUGUCCGAGCGUCAUUGCUGCCCUCAAGCACGGCUUGUGUGUUGGGCCCCGUCCUCCGAUCCCGGGGGACGGGCCCGAAAGGCAGCGGCGGCACCGCGUCCGGUCCUCGAGCGUAUGGGGCUUUGUCACCCGCUCUGUAGGCCCGGCCGGCGCUUGCCGAUCAACCCAAAUUUUUAUCCAGGUUGACCUCGGAUCAGGUAGGGAUACCCGCUGAACUUAAGCAUAUCAAUAAGCGGAGGA